ACUCAAAGGAAUUGACGGGGGCCCGCACAAGCGGCGGAGCAUGUGGCUUAAUUCGACGCAACGCGAAGAACCUUACCAAGGCUUGACAUACGCCGAAAACUCGCAGAGAUGUGGGGUCCGUAAGGGCGGCGUACAGGUGGUGCAUGGUUGUCGUCAGCUCGUGUCGUGAGAUGUUGGGUUAAGUCCCGCAACGAGCGCAACCCUCGUUCCAUGUUGCCAGCGGGUAAUGCCGGGGACUCAUGGGAGACUGCCGGGGUCAACUCGGAGGAAGGUGGGGAUGACGUCAAAUCAUCAUGCCCCUUAUGUCUUGGGCUGCACACAUGCUACAAUGGCCGGUACAAUGGGCUGCGAAGCCGUAAGGUGGAGCGAAUCCCAAAAAGCCGGUCUCAGUUCGGAUUGGGGUCUGCAACUCGACCCCAUGAAGUCGGAGUCGCUAGUAAUCGCAGAUCAGCAACGCUGCGGUGAAUACGUUCCCGGGCCUUGUACACACCGCCCGU
RNAcentral lists this ribosomal RNA (497 nucleotides) under uncultured bacterium. RNAcentral's name for it is "partial 16S ribosomal RNA". It matches the Rfam family "Bacterial small subunit ribosomal RNA", at positions 899 to 1397 of the family's 1533-position model. The record is from RNAcentral.